Non-coding RNA from Paramuricea clavata, 225 nucleotides. The record is from the annotation of a GenBank genome assembly. Lineage: Eukaryota; Metazoa; Cnidaria; Anthozoa; Malacalcyonacea; Plexauridae.
GCGUGCAGUUCCGUAGGAAGUUCUUUUUUAUAAGGGGGUGGCGAGGGCCGAAGGCCCGAGGAAAUUUUUUAAUUUAGAGUCUCUGAAAUGCCAUUUCGUGAACUUUGGGGGAAGUUUUGACAGAAUUCUGAUGGUCAGAAAACAGAGUUUUAGCACGUCGAAAUUUACAAUUAAUAUUAUUUGCUUACAAUUUAGAAGAACUAAAUGCGCGAAGGCGUAUAUGGG